Molecule: ribosomal RNA, 993 nt
Filed under: Neofusicoccum parvum
Lineage: Eukaryota; Fungi; Ascomycota; Dothideomycetes; Botryosphaeriales; Botryosphaeriaceae
Description: SSU rRNA
Rfam family: Eukaryotic small subunit ribosomal RNA
Source: RNAcentral
CUCAUUAAAUCAGUUAUCGUUUAUUUGAUAGUACCUUACUACUUGGAUAACCGUGGUAAUUCUAGAGCUAAUACAUGCUAAAAACCCCGACUUCGGAAGGGGUGUAUUUAUUAGAUAAAAAACCAAUGCCCUUCGGGGCUCCUUGGUGAUUCAUGAUAACUUAACGAAUCGCAUGGCCUUGCGCCGGCGAUGGUUCAUUCAAAUUUCUGCCCUAUCAACUUUCGAUGGUAGGAUAGUGGCCUACCAUGGUAUCAACGGGUAACGGGGAAUUAGGGUUCUAUUCCGGAGAGGGAGCCUGAGAAACGGCUACCACAUCCAAGGAAGGCAGCAGGCGCGCAAAUUACCCAAUCCCGACACGGGGAGGUAGUGACAAUAAAUACUGAUACAGGGCUCUUUUGGGUCUUGUAAUUGGAAUGAGUACAAUUUAAAUACCUUAACGAGGAACAAUUGGAGGGCAAGUCUGGUGCCAGCAGCCGCGGUAAUUCCAGCUCCAAUAGCGUAUAUUAAAGUUGUUGCAGUUAAAAAGCUCGUAGUUGAACCUUGGGCCUGGCUGGCCGGUCCGCCUCACCGCGUGUACUGGUCCGGCCGGGCCUUUCCUUCUGGGGAUCCUCAUGCCCUUCACUGGGUGUGCUGGGGAACCAGGACUUUUACUUUGAAAAAAUUAGAGUGUUCAAAGCAGGCCUUUGCUCGAAUACAUUAGCAUGGAAUAAUAGAAUAGGACGUGCGGUCCUAUUUUGUUGGUUUCUAGGACCGCCGUAAUGAUUAAUAGGGAUAGUCGGGGGCAUCAGUAUUCAAUUGUCAGAGGUGAAAUUCUUGGAUUUAUUGAAGACUAACUACUGCGAAAGCAUUUGCCAAGGAUGUUUUCAUUAAUCAGUGAACGAAAGUUAGGGGAUCGAAGACGAUCAGAUACCGUCGUAGUCUUAACCGUAAACUAUGCCGACUAGGGAUCGGGCGAUGUUAUUCUUUUGACUCGCUCGGCACCUUACGAGAAAU